Molecule: long non-coding RNA, 546 nt
Filed under: Zonotrichia albicollis (white-throated sparrow)
Lineage: Eukaryota; Metazoa; Chordata; Aves; Passeriformes; Passerellidae
Description: lncRNA (ENSZALG00000016814.1)
Source: RNAcentral
GCAAAAAUGAGCACAUUCAGGCAUGAGAGAAAGAAGUGAAAUCAGAUUGUAUUGCAUUUCUUUGGCAUAUAUGGUGCGAUGCAAGACUUUUUUCUUUUCUUAACUCCUGAAAUUUGAGAUAGCCUGAGAAAAAUACCAGCAUGGACAAAAAUGAGGAAUCAGCUUUCCAUCUAAAUGCUAUUUUAAAAGAUCCCAUAAAUCACAGACUGCACCACUGCUGAUGACAUCUAUAAAACAUUUCCUGGUUGGACACAGGUCACUUUGACAUGGAACUGAAGGCAUGUAACCACUCCCCACCACCUCUGGUUUGGUGAUACAACAAAUCCAUUUGAGCCUCCAGCACAGGGCCAGGUGCAUCCAGGUGAGCUUUCCUGUGCUGCAGAGGCCGGAGCAGCAAUUCCCAGCACACCGAGCCUGUGAUCCAUCCUGUAGUGCUGCUCUGGGCACGCUACGGAGCUGGAGCUGCUCCCUCACACCCCGCAGGGUCCGGCAGGGCUGCCAGGACAGCAGCUGUUGGGAAGGAUGAAAGUUUGACAAGAAAGUCUC